Molecule: unclassified non-coding RNA, 210 nt
Filed under: uncultured fungus
Lineage: Eukaryota; Fungi
Description: sequence contains ITS1, 5.8S rRNA gene
Source: RNAcentral
ACAGUUGUCCACCUUGACAAAAAGCUUUGCCUCUGGGGCCUCGGCCCCUCUGGCUCAGUUUUCAACCAUUUGUGAACGAACCAUUUCUUCGCUUCGGCAGCCAGCAGUGGGGGCCCUGCCCUCCCUGCCUUAAGCCUGCCGGCAGCAUCCAUUUAAACCUGCCUCUUGAGAUUUUGUCUGAUUCCAUUCUUAAUCUUGAAUGUAAAAUUA